This 253-nucleotide ribosomal RNA is filed under the name uncultured bacterium. RNAcentral's name for it is "partial 16S ribosomal RNA". It matches the Rfam family "Bacterial small subunit ribosomal RNA", at positions 524 to 776 of the family's 1533-position model. The record is from RNAcentral.
UACGGAGGAUGCAAGCGUUAUCCGGAAUUAUUGGGCGUAAAGCGUCCGCAGGUGGUUAGACAAGUCUGCUGUUAAAGCGUGGAGCUUAACUCCAUAUCGGCGGCGGAAAAUGUCUGACUAGAGUUCGGUAGGGGUCACGGGAAUUCCCAGUGUAGCGGUGAAAUGCGUAGAUAUUGGGAAGAACACCAGCGGCGAAAGCGCGUGACUGGGCCGAGACUGACACUCAUGGACGAAAGCUAGGGGAGCGAAAGGG